This 99-nucleotide ribosomal RNA is filed under the name Escherichia coli. Its description in RNAcentral is "partial 16S ribosomal RNA". It matches the Rfam family "Bacterial small subunit ribosomal RNA", at positions 1 to 93 of the family's 1533-position model. The record is from RNAcentral. Lineage: Bacteria; Pseudomonadati; Pseudomonadota; Gammaproteobacteria; Enterobacterales; Enterobacteriaceae.
UUAAAUUGAAGAGUUUGAUCAUGGCUCAGAUUGAGCGCUGGCGGCAGGCCUAACACAUGCAAGUCGAACGGUAACAGGAAGCAGCUUGCUGCUUCGCUG